CGCGGGAUGGUAGCAGCUGGUAGCUCGACGGGCUCAUAACCCGUAGGUCGGGGGUUCGAAUCCCUCUCCCGCAACCA
Molecule: transfer RNA, 77 nt
Filed under: Bacillota bacterium
Lineage: Bacteria; Bacillati; Bacillota
Also listed under: 1 other name
Description: tRNA-Met
Rfam family: tRNA
About the family: Transfer RNA (tRNA) molecules are approximately 80 nucleotides in length. Their secondary structure includes four short double-helical elements and three loops (D, anti-codon, and T loops). Further hydrogen bonds mediate the characteristic L-shaped molecular structure. tRNAs have two regions of fundamental functional importance: the anti-codon, which is responsible for specific mRNA codon recognition, and the 3' end, to which the tRNAs corresponding amino acid is attached (by aminoacyl-tRNA synthetases). tRNAs cope with the degeneracy of the genetic code in two manners: having more than one tRNA (with a specific anti-codon) for a particular amino acid; and 'wobble' base-pairing, i.e. permitting non-standard base-pairing at the 3rd anti-codon position.
Source: RNAcentral